Molecule: ribosomal RNA, 253 nt
Filed under: uncultured bacterium
Lineage: Bacteria
Description: partial 16S ribosomal RNA
Rfam family: Bacterial small subunit ribosomal RNA
Source: RNAcentral
UACGUAGGGGGCAAGCGUUGUCCGGAUUUAUUGGGCGUAAAGAGCGUGUAGGCGGCCAGGUAGGUCUGCUGUGAAAACUCGAGGCUCAACCUCGAGACGUCGGCGGAAACCAUCUGGCUAGAGUCCGGAAGAGGAGAGUGGAAUUCCUGGUGUAGCGGUGAAAUGCGCAGAUAUCAGGAAGAACACCUAUGGCGAAGGCAGCUCUCUGGGACGGUACUGACGCUGAGACGCGAAAGCGUGGGGAGCGAACAGG